GACGAACGCUGGCGGCAUGCCUAACACAUGCAAGUCGAACGGAAAGGCCGUGCUUUUGUGCGGUGCUGGAGUGGCGAAGGGGGGAGUAACACGUGAGUAACGUGCCCUUCACUUUGGGAUAACUUCAGGAAAGUGAGGCUAAUACCAGAUAGGAGAUCCCGCCGCAUGGUGGGCGUGGGAUAGUUUCGGCGGUUGGGGAUGGACUCGCCGCUUAUGGGCUUGCUGGUGGGGUAGUGGCUUACCAAGGCAUUGACCGGUAGCCGGCCAGCGAGGGUGGCCGGCCACAUCACGACUGAGAUACGGCACAGACUCCUACGGGAGGCAACGGUGGGGAGUAUUAUACAGUGGGCGGGAGCCAGGUGCGACAACGCCGCGUGCGGGAAGACGGCCUUCGGGUAGUGAACCGCAUUCGCCUUAGACGAGGCGUGAGUGACGGUACCGGGAGAAGAAGCACCGGCUAACUCCGUG
This 468-nucleotide ribosomal RNA is filed under the name uncultured bacterium. Its description in RNAcentral is "partial 16S ribosomal RNA". It matches the Rfam family "Bacterial small subunit ribosomal RNA", at positions 28 to 507 of the family's 1533-position model. The record is from RNAcentral.